This 285-nucleotide ribosomal RNA is filed under the name uncultured prokaryote. RNAcentral describes it as "partial 16S ribosomal RNA". It matches the Rfam family "Bacterial small subunit ribosomal RNA", at positions 524 to 817 of the family's 1533-position model. The record is from RNAcentral.
UACGUAAGGAGCAAGCGUUGUCCGGAUUUACUGGGCGUAAAGAGCUCGUAGGCGGCCGAUCAGAUCUCGCGUAAAAUCCCCCGGCUCAACCGGGGAGGGUCGCGGGAAACCGACCGGCUUGAGGACAGAAAAGGAAAGUGGAAUUCCCGGUGUAGCGGUGAAAUGCGUAGAUAUCGUGAGGAACACCAGUGGUGAAGACGGCUUUCUGGUCUGUUGCUGACGCUGAGGAGCGAAAAGCCAGGGGAGCGAACCGGAUUAGAUACCCUGGUAGUCCCUGAGCGGGCU